This 490-nucleotide ribosomal RNA is filed under the name uncultured bacterium. RNAcentral's name for it is "partial 16S ribosomal RNA". It matches the Rfam family "Bacterial small subunit ribosomal RNA", at positions 30 to 507 of the family's 1533-position model. The record is from RNAcentral.
AUUGAACGCUGGCGGCAGGCCUAACACAUGCAAGUCGAACGGUAGCAGAAAGCAGCUUGCUGCUUUGCUGACGAGUGGCGGACGGGUGAGUAAUGUCUGGGAAACUGCCUGAUGGAGGGGGAUAACUACUGGAAACGGUAGCUAAUACCGCAUAACGUCGCAAGACCAAAGAGGGGGACCUUCGGGCCUCUUGCCAUCGGAUGUGCCCAGAUGGGAUUAGCUUGUUGGUGGGGUAACGGCUCACCAAGGCGACGAUCCCUAGCUGGUCUGAGAGGAUGACCAGCCACACUGGAACUGAGACACGGUCCAGACUCCUACGGGAGGCAGCAGUGGGGAAUAUUGCACAAUGGGCGCAAGCCUGAUGCAGCCAUGCCGCGUGUAUGAAGAAGGCCUUCGGGUUGUAAAGUACUUUCAGCGGGGAGGAAGGGAGUAAAGUUAAUACCUUUGCUCAUUGACGUUACCCGCAGAAGAAGCACCGGCUAACUCCGUG